AACGGUAGAGCAGCUGACUUGUAAUCAGCAGGUUGUAGGUUCGAUUCCUAUCACCA
This 56-nucleotide transfer RNA is filed under the name Clostridioides difficile. Its description in RNAcentral is "tRNA-Ser". It matches the Rfam family "tRNA", at positions 14 to 65 of the family's 71-position model. From Rfam's summary of the family: Transfer RNA (tRNA) molecules are approximately 80 nucleotides in length. Their secondary structure includes four short double-helical elements and three loops (D, anti-codon, and T loops). Further hydrogen bonds mediate the characteristic L-shaped molecular structure. tRNAs have two regions of fundamental functional importance: the anti-codon, which is responsible for specific mRNA codon recognition, and the 3' end, to which the tRNAs corresponding amino acid is attached (by aminoacyl-tRNA synthetases). tRNAs cope with the degeneracy of the genetic code in two manners: having more than one tRNA (with a specific anti-codon) for a particular amino acid; and 'wobble' base-pairing, i.e. permitting non-standard base-pairing at the 3rd anti-codon position. The record is from RNAcentral. Lineage: Bacteria; Bacillati; Bacillota; Clostridia; Peptostreptococcales; Peptostreptococcaceae.